Non-coding RNA from Stegodyphus mimosarum, 72 nucleotides. The record is from Rfam. Lineage: Eukaryota; Metazoa; Arthropoda; Arachnida; Araneae; Eresidae.
GCCUUCGUGGUGUAACGGUUAACACACUUGGCGCGUAUUCGAGAGGUCCAAGUUCGAGUCCCGGCGAGGGCA